GAUGAAGAACGCAGUGAAAUGCGAUAAGUAGUGUGAAUUGCAGAAUUCAGUGAAUCAUCGAAUCUUUGAACGCACAUUGCGCCCCUCGGUAUUCCGUGGGGCACGCCUGUUCGAGCGUCAUUUACACCCUCAAGCGCAGCUUGGUGUUGGGCGUCUGUCCCGCUCUCCGUAGCGCGGACUCGCCUCAAAGUCAUUGGCGGCGGUCGUGCCGGCUCCUCGCGCAGCACAUUUGCGCUUCUCGGAGGCCCGGCGGAUCGGCAUCCAGCAAGCUACUUUUUAUGACUUGACCUCGGAUCAGGUGAGGAUACCCGCUGAACUUAAGCAUAUCAAUAAGCGGAGGA
RNAcentral lists this unclassified non-coding RNA (341 nucleotides) under soil metagenome. RNAcentral describes it as "partial contains 5.8S ribosomal RNA, internal transcribed spacer 2, and large subunit ribosomal RNA". The stretch from base 1 to 120 matches the Rfam family "5.8S ribosomal RNA", at positions 35 to 154 of the family's 154-position model. The record is from RNAcentral.